This 427-nucleotide ribosomal RNA is filed under the name uncultured bacterium. Its description in RNAcentral is "partial 16S ribosomal RNA". It matches the Rfam family "Bacterial small subunit ribosomal RNA", at positions 355 to 774 of the family's 1533-position model. The record is from RNAcentral.
UGGGGAAUAUUGCACAAUGGGCGCAAGCCUGAUGCAGCCAUGCCGCGUGUAUGAAGAAGGCCUUCGGGUUGUAAAGUACUUUCAGCGGGGAGGAAGGUGUUGAGGCUAAUAACCUCAGCAAUUGACGUUACCCGCAGAAGAAGCACCGGCUAACUCCGUGCCAGCAGCCGCGGUAAUACGGAGGGUGCAAGCGUUAAUCGGAAUUACUGGGCGUAAAGCGCACGCAGGCGGUCUGUCAAGUCGGAUGUGAAAUCCCCGGGCUCAACCUGGGAACUGCAUUCGAAACUGGCAGGCUAGAGUCUUGUAGAGGGGGGUAGAAUUCCAGGUGUAGCGGUGAAAUGCGUAGAGAUCUGGGGGAAUACCGGUGGCGAAGGCGGCCCCCUGGACAAAGACUGACGCUCAGGUGCGAAAGCGUGGGGAGCAAACA